This 53-nucleotide transfer RNA is filed under the name Rhodomonas abbreviata. RNAcentral's name for it is "partial Selenocysteine transfer RNA". Lineage: Eukaryota; Cryptophyceae; Pyrenomonadales; Pyrenomonadaceae. The record is from RNAcentral.
UUCAAAUCCGAUGACGGGAGGCUUUUUCGAGGGGUUGUUCGAUUUCUGCACGC